CAGCAGAGUUUGAUCCUGGCUCAGAGCGAACGCUGGCGGCAGGCCUAACACAUGCAAGUCGAGCGGGCGUAGCAAUACGUCAGCGGCAGACGGGAGAGUAACACGUGGGAACGCGCCCUUCGGUUCGGAAUAACUCAGGGAAACUUGAGCUAAUACCGGAUACGCCCUUACGGGGAAAGAUUUAUCGCCGAAGGAACGGCCCGCGUCGGAUUAGCUAGUUGGCGGGGUAAAGGCCCACCAAGGCGACGAUCCGUAGCUGGUCUGAGAGGAUGAUCAGCCACACUGGGACUGAGACACGGCCCAGACUCCUACGGGAGGCAGCAGUGGGGAAUAUUGGACAAUGGGGGCAACCCUGAUCCAGCAAUGCCGCGUGUGUGAAGAAGGCCUUCGGGUUGUAAAGCACUUUUAUCAGGAACGAAACACGCAGGUUUAAUACGUCUGCGGACUGACGGUACCUGAGGAAUAAGCACCGGCUAACUUCGUGCCAGCAGCCGCGGUAAUCA
RNAcentral lists this ribosomal RNA (503 nucleotides) under uncultured bacterium. RNAcentral describes it as "bacterial SSU rRNA". It matches the Rfam family "Bacterial small subunit ribosomal RNA", at positions 1 to 525 of the family's 1533-position model. The record is from RNAcentral.